AAUAGAUACCCGGGUAGUCCACGCCGUAAACGAUGAGUGCCAAGUGUUAGGGGGUUUCCGCCCCUUAGUGCUGCAGCUAACGCAUUAAGCACUCCGCCUGGGGAGUACGGUCGCAAGACUGAAACUCAAAGGAAUUGACGGGGGCCCGCACAAGCGGUGGAGCAUGUGGUUUAAUUCGAAGCAACGCGAAGAACCUUACCAGGUCUUGACAUCCCGUUGACCACUGUAGAGAUAUAGUUUCCCCUUCGGGGGCAACGGUGACAGGUGGUGCAUGGUUGUCGUCAGCUCGUGUCGUGAGAUGUUGGGUUAAGUCCCGCAACGAGCGCAACCCUUGAUCUUAGUUGCCAUCAUUUAGUUGGGCACUCUAAGGUGACUGCCGGUGACAAACCGGAGGAAGGUGGGGAUGACGUCAAAUCAUCAUGCCCCUUAUGACCUGGGCUACACACGUGCUACAAUGGACGAUACAAACGGUUGCCAACUCGCGAGAGGGAGCUAAUCCGAUAAAGUCGUUCUCAGUUCGGAUUGUAGG
This 529-nucleotide ribosomal RNA is filed under the name uncultured bacterium. Its description in RNAcentral is "bacterial SSU rRNA". It matches the Rfam family "Bacterial small subunit ribosomal RNA", at positions 777 to 1304 of the family's 1533-position model. The record is from RNAcentral.